RNAcentral lists this long non-coding RNA (7455 nucleotides) under Cucumis sativus (cucumber). RNAcentral describes it as "long non-coding RNA (CSAT_LNC002403)". The record is from RNAcentral. Lineage: Eukaryota; Viridiplantae; Streptophyta; Magnoliopsida; Cucurbitales; Cucurbitaceae.
GAAGGUGGGUGGGAGUCACGAUCGCACGGGGAAGAAGAAGGGAGAAAAGAAAAGAAAAAGAAAAAGAAGAAAAGAAAAAUAAUAAAGAAAUUUUUAAUAUUAAAGUAAAAAUAAAAUAUAUAUAUAUAUAUAUAUAUAUAUAUAUAUAUAUAUAUAUAUAUAUAUAUAUAUAUAUAUAUAUAUAUAUACUUUCUUUGGGCAUUACAUUCUUCCCUCCUUAAGAAACUUUCGUCCUCGAAAGUUCUAAUCCUGAAAUAACUCUGGAUAACGAGUCCUCAUUUCUUCCUCUCGCUCCCAUGUCGCCUCUUCAAUUCGAUGAUUCCGCCACAAAACCUUUACUAAUGGAAUGCUUCUAUUACGAAGCAUCUUUACCUCUCUAGCCAGAAUCUCCACAGGUUGUUCUACAUAGCUCAAAUGCUCAUCAAUCUCCAAGGGUUCAUAGUCCACUACAUGAGAUGUAUCGGCCACAUACUUCCUCAACAUCGAAACAUGGAAAACAUUAUGAACUGCAGAGAGAGAUGGUGGUAAUGCCAAGCGAUACGCCACAACACCAACCCUCUCUAAGAUCUCAAAUGGUCCAACAAAACGAGGACUUAACUUUCCUUUCUUCUCAAAACGCAUAACACCCUUCAUAGGUGCUACCUUCAAGAAUACCUUUUCUCCCACAUCGAACUUAAGGUCUUUUCGCCGUACAUCUGCAUAACUCUUCUGUCUACUCUGCGCUGUUUGCAUACGUGCUCUAAUCUUUUGAAUAGCCUCAUUAGUAGACCGAACUAAUUCAGGUCCCAUCAAUCUAUGUUCACCAACCUCACUCCAACAAACAGGGGUUCUACAACAUUUGCCAUACAAAGCCUCAAAUGGUGCCAUACCGAUGGUAGCCUGGAAACUGUUGUUAUAAGCAAACUCCAUCAAAUGUAGAUGAGAGUCCCAACUACCUGGAAACUCUAUAACACAAGCUCGUAGCAUAUCCUCUAAAACUUGGUUCAAACGUUCAGUUUGACCAUCAGUCUGUGGAUGAAAGGCUGUACUGAAAUCCAAUCUCGUACCCAUAGCAGUCUGAAGUCCCUUCCAAAACUUGGAAGUAAACCGUGCAUCCCUAUCAGAAACAAUCGAUACAGGCACUCCAUGCAGUCUCACAAUCUCAGUUAAAUACAACUCUGCCCACUUACUAGCAGUAUAAGUGGAUUUUCCUGGUACAAAAUGUGCCGAUUUCGUAAGCCUGUCUAUGACAACCAGAAUCACUGUGAAACCCUUCAGGGUCUUAGGCAGCCCUGAAAUAAAAUCCAUCGACACAUUCUCCCACUUCCACUCUGGCACACUUAAAGGUUGUAACAAACCUGCUGGUUUCUGUCUAGGUGCCUUAACUUGCUGACAUACUAGACACUUACUAACAAAUUCCGCCACUUCCCUUUUCAUAUUCCGCCACCAAUAAAAUCGUUUUAGAUCCUGAUACAUUUUCGUGCUACCAGGAUGCAUGGAAAAUGGGGAAUUAUGGGCUUCAUCUAGUAAGUCAAUCUUAACUGUACUGUUCGCUGGCACACAUAAACGUCUCUCAAACAUCAACCCACCAUCAGAGGAUAUGGAGAACUCAUCAGUCUGCCCUGUUUCAACAAGGCGACGUCUCUCCAUCAAAUAAGGAUCAUUACUCUGAGCAUCAACAAUCUUGUGCCUCAGAGUCGGUUGCACCGUUAAUUGAGCUAGCUGUGAGGUGACUCUCCCCACAGACACUGCAAUCUCAGCUCUCUCCAAGUCUCGAUGCAAUGGUACCUGUCUAGUAAUGAGUGCUGCCGAAUGUGAUACUUUUCUACUAAGAGCAUCAGCCACCACAUUCGCCUUACCAGGAUGGUACAAUAUCUCACAGUCAUAAUCUUUUACCAACUCGAGCCACCUUCGCUGUCUCAUAUUCAACUCCUUCUGAGUGAAGAAGUACUUUAGGCUCUUAUGGUCAGUAAAGAUUUGUAUCUUUUCACCGUACAAGUAAUGUCUCCAUAUCUUCAAUGCAAAAACCACUGCUGCCAACUCCAAAUCAUGUGUGGGGUAGUUCUGCUCGUGACUCUUCAACUGACGAGAGGCAUAAGCAACCACCUUACCUUUCUGCAUCAAAACACAACCCAGUCCUUUCUUGGAAGCAUCACUGUAAAUCACAAAACUUCCAGAUCCAUCUGGUACAGUAAGGACCGGUGCAGUAACUAACCUUUGCUUAAGGUUCUGAAAACUAUCCUCACAAGCUGGACUCCAAACAAACGGAGUUCCCUUCCUUGUCAACUGAGUCAAAGGAGUAGCCAAACGUGAAAAAUCCUCCACAAACCUCCGGUAGUACCCUGCUAAACCCAGAAAACUACGAACCUCACUAACUGUAGAGGGUCGAGACCAACUGGUAACCGCUUCUAUCUUUGCAGGGUCUACUGAAACUCCCUCACUGGAAACCACAUGACCAAGAAAAGCCACCUGCUUCAACCAAAAUUCGCACUUAGAGAACUUAGCAUACAGUUUAUUGACUCGAAGAGUCUCUAACACCUUAUGUAAGUGUUCCUCAUGUUCGGCUUCAGUCUUGGAAUAAACCAAAAUAUCAUCAAUGAAGACUAUCACAAAAGUGUCCAAGAAAUCCUUAAACACCCUGUUCAUCAAAUCCAUAAAUACAGCAGGUGCAUUAGUCAAACCAAAAGACAUUACUAUGAAUUCAUAAUGUCCAUACCUCGAACGAAAAGCAGUCUUAGGAAUAUCACGGUCUCUAAUCCUCAACUGGUGAUAACCUGACCGUAAGUCAAUCUUAGAGAACACCGUGGCUCCCUGUAACUGAUCGAACAAAUCAUCGAUUCUGGGUAAAGGAUAUCUGUUCUUGACUGUUACUUUAUUCAACUCUCUAUAGUCAAUGCAAAGACGCAUCGACCCAUCCUUCUUCUUCACAAACAAUACUGGUGCACCCCAAGGUGACACACUAGGUCGAAUAAAGCCUUUGUCAAGCAAUUCCUGUAACUGUACCUUCAGUUCUUUCAACUCAGCAGGAGCCAUCCUAUAAGGGGCUCUAGAAAUAGGAGUAGUGUUUGGCUCCAACUCAAUGGCAAAAUCAACCUCUCUAUGUGGCGGUAGUCCUGGAAGAUCUUUUGGAAAUACAUCUGGGUAGUCUCUUACCACAGGUUCUGAAGUUAAAGAAGUCUCACCUUCCCUAGUAUCCACCACACUUGCCAAAAUACUCCAAGUACCCUGGUUGAGUAGUUUACUAGCUUUCAUAGCUGAGAUUACUUUAGGCAGUACUACUGUUCCUACUCCCUUGAAUUUAAAGCUAGAUGCAGUAGGGGGACUAAACACAACUUCCUUACGAGAACAAUCAAUACUAGCAUGAUUAGUAGCUAGCCAAUCCAUACCUAAAAUUACAUCAAAGUCACGCAUAUCUAAUACCAACAAGGUUACGUCCAGCACACGACCAGCUAUCUCAAUUUCACAUGCUUUAAUCUUUUCCUUAGACAACAUAAUUUCUCCAGACGGUGUAGACACUGACAAAACAUAGUCUAAGGGUUCCACCUCUAAGCAUGCAUGCGUCACAAAAAGCGAUGAAAUAAAUGAAUGAGAAGAUCCCGAGUCAAACAAGGUCAAGGCAAAAUGCCCUAAUACUGGUAAUGUACCUGUCACUACUGUGCCGGCCUUCUCUGCCUCUGAUCUAUUAGUGGCAAAGAUUGUACCCCGCUGUGGAGGUCUCUCUCCCUGACUGCUCGAUCCAGCCCCAGUAGAUCUCAAGGGACACCUAUCAGCCAUGUGUCCCUCUUGCUUGCACUUAUAACAGACUCUCGUUCCCAUCAAACAACGACCCAGGUGGCGUUUCCCACACGUAUUACAUACUGGCCUCUCUUGAGUAGUGUCUCCUGCACCGCCAGAACUCUGCUGGAAACUGCGAAAAAGAUCACCUGGUCUCAUGUUCCUCUGAGGAACUCCUACAGUUCUCUGCUCUACUUUUCUCUUUUGACCCGACGACGAUCCCUUAUUAAAGCUCCUUGGCUGUCUUUCAUCCUUCCCAAUACUCAUAUCCACUGCCAGACGCAGUGCUUCAGCUUGGGUAGUGGGCUUUAGUGCUCGCACAAAACCCCUAAUUUCAUCUCUCAAUCCCUUGACGAACCUAUCAGCUCUAGCCUGCUCAUUACUAACAAGCUCAGGGGCAAAACGUGACAGCAUAUCAAACUCCUGGUCGUACUCCUCGACUGUCAUAUAUCCUUGCUUCAACUCCAAGAAUUCCUGGCUUUUGGCGUCUCUAAGGUUAGCCGAGAAAAACUUGGUAUAGAAGCAGUUCUUAAACUGAUCCCAGGUAAUCUGCCUCACAUCUCCACCUAGCAUGCGCAUUGUAGUCCUCCACCAGAUAAUGCCUCUGUCCCUCAGUAGAAAAGCAGCACACUGAACUCUGUGCUCCUCGGGACAUCUCAUGUAAUUAAAUAUGGUUUCCACAGAGGACAACCACAUUUCAGCUUUAGUAGGAUCCUCCAGUGACCCAUCAAACGUCUGAGGGUCAUACUUCCGAAAGUCCCUCAAAUGUUUCGCCUCAGCAGAAAGUUGGUUAGGUAAUUCUUGUGCAGGAGGGGCUGCUGGUGCAGGGGGAACUACAGGUGCAGGUGGGACUGCAGGUGCCUGCUGGUUUUGAGCUAUAGCUGUCAUAAGUUCUGUAAACCUCUGCUCCAUGUGAGCAGACAGUGCAUCAAACUCGACGUGAGUCACGGGUGCAGCAGGAAUUCGCUGUUCAGCUUGACCCUCAGUAGGCUGAUUACGACCUACUCCUCUACCUCGGCCUCCUGCUCCUCUACCUCGGCCUCCUGUUCCUCUACCUCGACCUCUACGACCUCCUCUACGUACUUCUUCCCUUGGCGGCAUAAUUCCUAUUAUCCACCAACAACACUCUUUAACAAAAUCUUAAUCAUAAACAUAAGCAAGUCUUUAUCGUCAUGCAGUCUAGUUUAAUUUAGGCAAGGUCAUGCAAAUAAACCAUACAUAUAAGCAUCAAGCAUACCUGACGAGAGACGAAGGGUCGCGUUAGCCAUAGGAACACAAAAACAUAGACUUACAUCGUAAGUCAGUCUACAGAACCUAAAACUUAGGCUCUGAUACCAACUGUAACGACCCAACUUUUCUAAGUAAGUCGAGAUCGUUAAUUUUUAACAAAUAAAAGACUUUGAUUAAUAUAAAACAAAACGUAAGCAAAUUUUAAAAAAAAAACAUCUUCAAGUCAGGCCUGAUUUUCAAAUAUUCCAAAAACUUAAAAAUAACACUAUUUACAAAUAAAAGUUUGUAAACUAACAUUUAGUACAUGUUAAACCUUAAAAGAAAUCAUAAGCGGAAGCAAAAUAACACAUUCCCUAUGGCAUUCACGCUUCCUUCCUGCCCCUCGCCGGUUUGCCACCUUUAUUUCCUUUGCCUGAAAAUUAAACAUAAGAAGGGUGAGUAUAACAAUACUCAGUAAGAGACCCUCUACUGGUCUCGUCAGGGGAAAAUAAAUUGUUAAAGUUCUAUUGGGACACCCUGUACAGUCGCAGUCUUGUGAUCCCGUAGGAUACACAUUUCAGUCUAACGCCCCGAAGGACGUACAUAUCAGUCUAACGCCCGAGGGACGUACAUAUCAGUCUAACGCCCCGAGGGACGUACAUAUCAGUCUAACGCCCCGAGGGACGUUCAUAUCAGUCUAACGCCCAGAGGGACGUUCAUAUCAGUCUAGUGUUCUGCAGAAACACAUAUCAGUCAAAUGCUCCCGAAGGUGCAAAAUAAAUUGGUGAUCCCGUGGGACACCUACAAGGCACACAUCCCAAUAAAAGCUAACAAUUUUUCCCCUCAGUCCAUUCUAAACAUCUUAACAGUCAUUCACAAAUCAGUUAAACAUUCUCAUCACGUAAACUUCUUAUUUAACCUCAACCAAACGUCCUACUCUAAUUUAGCCCAAGGUCAGUAAAAAGCAUAUCAUUUCAUCAGUUAACAAGCUUAACAAUCAUAACCUCCUCCUCAGUCACCAAGGGUACAACCACGACGUUUCUUUCGUUCACAAGCACACAACAUAACAGUAGAUAUUAUAAAUUCAGUCUAGAGAAGAAUCAAUCUACUAAUCAAAUCCACACUUUAUAUAAGCAACAACUACGAGAUUCAGUCGUUUCCACAUCCUUAUCCUUGUACACAUACAUAACCAGACAGUCACAACAUAUACUCAACCACAGUCCACAUCAACCCAUGCACAUAUAUGUAUUAAUUUCUCCCAGUCAAACACAGCAAACAUUAAACUUUAAGUCAAUGUCCAAACAUACAUCAUAACAGUCAUCUCUACUCAGUUCAAAUAAUAUAAUACGGUCCAUACAGUCAAUGCAUCUUAAUUAUGAGUCCAGUAGAAAAUCCCUUACCUCAAAGUUGGGGAAGCUUCUAAAUCAACUAACGUCCUCGAAACAAUCCUAAGCACAACAACACAAAAAUUCAAUUACUUUCACGAUACAUAUCUCACUUACUUUCCUCAACGUAAGUUCCAACUCACCGAAAUAUUGGCGAACUGAACCCUCAACAAUUCACAAACUGAUUGUGAAUGUAAGGGAGUCUAACGAUACUCCCAACACCUCAACGCACGAAUGUCGAACUCGCAGCAAAAAUCCUAAAUGUGGGUCGGUCAACGGUCGACCAAAGGAGACGUGGCGGCUGCCUCAAAUCGAUCAACGAUCUGACGCGGUUGGAGAGUCGCGCGGCAGUGCAGAAAACAGAGGAGAACGGAAUGGGCGGCGGCUCGAAACAGAGGUUGCGCGGCAGGGCUUCACGAAGACAGAACCGGCGGAGACGGUUGCGGAACCGUGGCUUCGAUGGAGACAGAACCGACUGAGACGGCUGGGCAGCGGAGAAAGAGCAACGGUUGCAACGGCGGAAGGUCUUGCGGUGCAAAUCUGGACGGAAAGUUACGCGGCGGCCGACGGUUACAGCGACAGUUUUGGAUCGAAGAAGAAAAGAAAGUGGGUUCGGCUUCGGUGAACGGAGGAAGAAACAGAUGUUGCGGUUGAGUUCGGCUCGAUCUGGCGGAACGGAGAGGAGAAGGGAUGGUCAGCGGCUGCUUGCUGCGAACGGAAGGAGACGGAAGGUGGGUGGGAGUCACGAUCGCACGGGGAAGAAGAAGGGAGAAAAGAAAAGAAAAAGAAAAAGAAGAAAAGAAAAAUAAUAAAGAAAUUUUUAAUAUUAAAGUAAAAAUAAAAUAUAUAUAUAUAUAUAUAUUAUAUAUAUAUAUAUAUAUAUAUAUAUAUAUAUAUUUACCUUUUCUUUGGGCAUUACACCUGCCAUCUUCUACCUUCGUCGUCGGUGGCGGUCUCUCAGGUAUUUAUGGAUCUAAUCUUUACUAUCUGUACUUUUCUUUGAGUAAGUCAUCCGAGAAAAGAUGGUAAAACUUUAGGCUAUUUGCUAAAAAUUGCAAAGUGGUUUCUGGACACAAAAUCCCAUGGUCGAAAUUUAAGAAGAAUCGAG